CCUACGGGAGGCAGCAGUGGGGAAUAUUGCACAAUGGGCGCAAGCCUGAUGCAGCCAUGCCGCGUGUGUGAAGAAGGCCUUCGGGUUGUAAAGCACUUUCAGCGGGGAGGAAGGCGUUAAGGUUAAUAACCUUGGCGAUUGACGUUACCCGCAGAAGAAGCACCGGCUAACUCCGUGCCAGCAGCCGCGGUAAUACGGAGGGUGCAAGCGUUAAUCGGAAUUACUGGGCGUAAAGCGCACGCAGGCGGUCUGUCAAGUCGGAUGUGAAAUCCCCGGGCUCAACCUGGGAACUGCAUUCGAAACUGGCAGGCUAGAGUCUUGUAGAGGGGGGUAGAAUUCCAGGUGUAGCGGUGAAAUGCGUAGAGAUCUGGAGGAAUACCGGUGGCGAAGGCGGCCCCCUGGACAAAGACUGACGCUCAGGCGCGAAAGCGUGGGGAGCAAACAGGAUUAAUACCCCUGUAGUC
Molecule: ribosomal RNA, 464 nt
Filed under: uncultured Klebsiella sp.
Lineage: Bacteria; Pseudomonadati; Pseudomonadota; Gammaproteobacteria; Enterobacterales; Enterobacteriaceae
Description: bacterial SSU rRNA
Rfam family: Bacterial small subunit ribosomal RNA
Source: RNAcentral